GCUCGAGUGGCGAACGGGUGACUAACACGUGGGUGAUCUGCCCUGCACUUUGGGAUAAGCCUGGGAAACUGGGUCUAAUACCGGAUAGGACCACGGUCUGCAUGGAUUGUGGUGGAAAGCUUUUGCGGUGUGGGAUGGGCCCGCGGCCUAUCAGCUUGUUGGUGGGGUGAUGGCCUACCAAGGCGACGACGGGUAGCCGGCCUGAGAGGGUGACCGGCCACACUGGGACUGAGAUACGGCCCAGACUCCUACGGGAGGCAGCAGUGGGGAAUAUUGCACAAUGGGCGCAAGCCUGAUGCAGCGACGCCGCGUGAGGGAUGACGGCCUUCGGGUUGUAAACCUCUUUCAGCACAGACGAAGCGCAAGUGACGGUAUGUGCAGAAGAAGGACCGGCCAACUACGUGCCAGCAGCCGCGGUAAUACGUAGGGUCCGAGCGUUGUCCGGAAUUACUG
This 453-nucleotide ribosomal RNA is filed under the name Mycolicibacterium wolinskyi. Its description in RNAcentral is "bacterial SSU rRNA". It matches the Rfam family "Bacterial small subunit ribosomal RNA", at positions 89 to 556 of the family's 1533-position model. The record is from RNAcentral. Lineage: Bacteria; Bacillati; Actinomycetota; Actinomycetes; Mycobacteriales; Mycobacteriaceae.